RNAcentral lists this ribosomal RNA (497 nucleotides) under uncultured bacterium. RNAcentral's name for it is "partial 16S ribosomal RNA". It matches the Rfam family "Bacterial small subunit ribosomal RNA", at positions 28 to 507 of the family's 1533-position model. The record is from RNAcentral.
GACGAACGCUGGCGGCGUGCCUAAUACAUGCAAGUUGAGCGCUGAAGGUUGGUACUUGUACCAACUGGAUGAGCAGCGAACGGGUGAGUAACGCGUGGGGAAUCUGCCUUUGAGCGGGGGACAACAUUUGGAAACGAAUGCUAAUACCGCAUAAAAACUUUAAACACAAGUUUUAAGUUUGAAAGAUGCAAUUGCAUCACUCAAAGAUGAUCCCGCGUUGUAUUAGCUAGUUGGUGAGGUAAAGGCUCACCAAGGCGAUGAUACAUAGCCGACCUGAGAGGGUGAUAGGCAAAAUUGGGACUGAGACACGGCCCAAACUCCUACGGGAGGCAGCAGUAGGGAAUGUUAGGCAAUGGACGAAAGUCUGACCGAGCAACGCCGCGUGAGUGAAGAAGGGUUUCGGAUCGUAAAACUCUGUUGGUAGAGAAGAACGUUGGUGAGAGUGGAAAGCUCAUCAAGUGACGGUAACUACCCAGAAAGGGACGGCUAACUACGUG